AUUGAACGCUGGCGGCAGGCUUAACACAUGCAAGUCGAGCGGUAGCACAGGGGAGCUUGCUCCCUGGGUGACGAGCGGCGGACGGGUGAGUAAUGUCUGGGAAACUGCCUGAUGGAGGGGGAUAACUACUGGAAACGGUAGCUAAUACCGCAUAACGUCGCAAGACCAAAGAGGGGGACCUUCGGGCCUCUUGCCAUCAGAUGUGCCCAGAUGGGAUUAGCUAGUUGGGGGGGUAAUGGCCCACCUAGGCGACGAUCUGUAGCUGGUCUGAGAGGAUGAACAGCCACACUGGGACUGAGACACGGCCCAGACUCCUACGGGAGGCAGCAGUGGGGAAUUUUUGACAAUGGGGGCAACCCUGAUCCAGCCAUUCCGCGUGAGUGAAGAAGGCCUUCGGGUUGUAAAGCUCUUUCGGCAGGAACGAAACGGUGGGCUCUAACAUAGUCCGCUAAUGACGGUACCUGAAGAAGAAGCACCGGCUAACUACGUG
This 490-nucleotide ribosomal RNA is filed under the name uncultured bacterium. RNAcentral describes it as "partial 16S ribosomal RNA". It matches the Rfam family "Bacterial small subunit ribosomal RNA", at positions 30 to 507 of the family's 1533-position model. The record is from RNAcentral.